GUUGGUUUCUGGCAACGUAUCAUGUGUGGUAAAAGAGAAAAAAAUUCAUAUACACUGUAUUCUAUAUUGUAUCAGCUUAGUAAAAGGGGUAUCUACCACUCUAAAUGGUUGUUAGAAAUUAAAAAUACUUUAUAUGAAUGUGGAUUUAAUUUGAUGUGGGAUGAUCAAAUAAUUGCUAAAUCUGAUAAUAUUAGUAAGAAUGUCA
Molecule: long non-coding RNA, 205 nt
Filed under: Mytilus galloprovincialis (Mediterranean mussel)
Lineage: Eukaryota; Metazoa; Mollusca; Bivalvia; Mytilida; Mytilidae
Source: RNAcentral